This 204-nucleotide ribosomal RNA is filed under the name Staphylococcus aureus. RNAcentral describes it as "partial 16S ribosomal RNA". It matches the Rfam family "Bacterial small subunit ribosomal RNA", at positions 20 to 219 of the family's 1533-position model. The record is from RNAcentral. Lineage: Bacteria; Bacillati; Bacillota; Bacilli; Caryophanales; Staphylococcaceae.
UGGCUCAGGAUGAACGCUGGCGGCGUGCCUAAUACAUGCAAGUCGAGCGAACGGACGAGAAGCUUGCUUCUCUGAUGUUAGCGGCGGACGGGUGAGUAACACGUGGAUAACCUACCUAUAAGACUGGGAUAACUUCGGGAAACCGGAGCUAAUACCGGAUAAUAUUUUGAACCGCAUGGUUCAAAAGUGAAAGACGGUCUUGCU